This 468-nucleotide ribosomal RNA is filed under the name uncultured bacterium. RNAcentral's name for it is "partial 16S ribosomal RNA". It matches the Rfam family "Bacterial small subunit ribosomal RNA", at positions 28 to 507 of the family's 1533-position model. The record is from RNAcentral.
GACGAACGCUGGCGGCGUGCUUAACACAUGCAAGUCGAACGGAGAGGCCCUGCAUUUGUGGGGUGCUCGAGUGGCGAACGGGUGAGUAACACGUUAGUAACCUGCCCUGGACUUUGUGAUAACUUCAAGAAACUUGGGCUAAGACCUGAUGUGAUCUCCGGCUGCAUGGUGGGGUGGGUAAAGUUUCGGCGGUUGGGGAUGGGCUCGCGGCUUAUCAUCGUGGUGGUGGGGUAGUGGCUUACCAAGGCUUUGACGGGUAGCCGGCCUGAGAGGGUCACGGGCCACAUUGGGACUGACAUCAGGCCCAGGCUCCUCCGGGAGGCAGAAGUGGGGAAUAUUGAACAAUGGGCGGAAGCCUGAUGCAGCAUGGCGGCGUGAGGGAUGAGGGCCUUCGGGUUGUAAACCGCUUUCGCCUGUGCCGAAGAGUGAGUGACGGUAAUGGGUAAAGAAGCACCGGCUAACUACGUG